ACUUCUCUGGUUUUUUUGGGUAAUAUUCCGGCCCAUCCCAGAUCUUCCCGACCCGGUAACCUACACGCUCCGGUUUUCUGAGCCACGAGGUCGACCCCGUGUAUUCUAUCGUGGAAAGGGGAGACGUGCGACCGAGGCGGCGACCGGCGGCGGGGAAAGGCGACGGCGGCGGGGCAAAUCAAGACGGCGCCGACGAGAUCCUCCUCCGGCGACUGGUCCCCGAUACCUGCACCUUGGCCUAUUGUUGGAUUGGAUCAGCCACCUCCAUCUUGGGAACUUGUGAGAACUCCUGUUUUUGUGCUAUAAUGAAUACACAAAGGCUAGAGCUUAUUAGGAAGAGGAGAGAGGAAGACGACGAGGAGUUCAUGUUCUUACUUUUACCAAUAUUGCACUAUCACAAAAGGAGUAGACGAGGGCAAGUAGAGAGAACACAGCGGCAUAGCUCCGUCUUGUAUGGCAUGCAACGUGUUCAAGGAAUCCUUGACGGACAUGUUAAGAAUUGCCGGGUAGCCUAUAGGAUGGAGCCACACAUUUUCAGAUCCUUAGCAUCCUAUCUUAGAAGAGAAAAAUUAUUGAAGGACAAAAGGAUUAAGGUUGAAGAAAAACUUGCUAUUUUCCUCUACAUGUUGUCACACAAUGCCUCUUUCGAAGACCUACAAUUGGAGUUCCAACACAGCAACCGUACCUUCCACAAGUGCAUAAGAGAGUUCUUCAACAUCAUCCCUGUCCUAAGUAGGCGAUUUCUGAAGCCUCCCAUUAU
Lolium perenne is the source of this 760-nucleotide long non-coding RNA. RefSeq lists it as uncharacterized. NCBI's taxonomy places the organism in Eukaryota, Viridiplantae, Streptophyta, Magnoliopsida, Poales, Poaceae. The record is from RefSeq and is a predicted model, not a curated record.